Tetranychus urticae (two-spotted spider mite) is the source of this 719-nucleotide non-coding RNA. The record is from RefSeq and is a predicted model, not a curated record. Lineage: Eukaryota; Metazoa; Arthropoda; Arachnida; Trombidiformes; Tetranychidae.
UUGUCAGAAUGAAAAGCAGAGCUUGUGUGCAGAAUAGUAAACAAUGUUUACAUGUUGCUGACAUGAAAUCUUGUUAAGCACAUCUGGUUUAAAUGCGUUCUGAAUUAUUGGAUUAAUAAUUCUAAUUGCUUUCUUUAGUAAAAGACCCAGCAAGACCCAUUUUACCUCCAAAUGACGGCUUUACUUUAAAAAUUUUUCAAAUUUUGUCAUUUAUCCAGUAAUGAGAUCUAAAUCCCAUCCCUUCCAUUGCACAUAUUUCUUCGAUGAAUAUGAAGUUUGCGAAGAUUUAAAUGGGAAACCUAAGAAAAAUAAAGUAAUUAAAGAGAUUAACUUCAUAAUCUCUGAUGGUACAGAGAUGAAAAGGAUUAAAGCGGCCAAUGAUUUUGAUUUCUGAGAAGCUGGACUCUCACUCAAAUUUCCGGUGAAGGAAUUUCUUAAAAAUAAUCUUCCAUGGAAAAGAAAAGAAAGCAAAAACUGGGCCAGGCAGCCAAAAAUCAAAGACUGCAAGGCUUAUCAAAUUGAGGAAACUAAAAAGAGAACUGACGAUGAACACUUGCUAGAUACAUUUAUAAAGAUGAUUCUGAUCUCGAAGUUAAUCUAAACGAAUUAUAUGUGGCUAGAGAAUUGUAUGAUGAUCAAAUGCUGCAUGUUUCCGAGAAAAAAGGCAAAAAUACAAACGAGAUCUAAAUCAAUAAAUAACUUUUAUUUACACAGAUAAA